CCAGCUCCAAGAGUGUAUAUUAAAGUUGUUGCAGUUGAAAGGCUCGUAGUCGGAAGGUGGGGCGGUGGAUGCAGAGCAGGGAGACCUGGAUCUGGGUCUGGGGCCCUUCGGGGGGCGAGGGAUGAUACCCGACCCCCCCCGUUACUGUGAGGAAAUUAGAGUGUUCAAAGCAGGCGUAACUCGCCUCCGAAUACGUUAGCAUGGGAUAAUGGAAUACGACUUCGGUCUUGUUUCGUUGGUUUCGCUUGGCUGAAGUAAUGAUUGAUAGGGACAGUUGGGGGCAUUAGUAUUUAGUUGUCAGAGGUGAAAUUCUAGGAUUUACUAAAGACUGACCAAUGCGAAAGCAUUUGCCAAGGAUGUUUUCAUUAAUCAAGAACGAAAGUAGGGGGAUCGAAGACGAUCAGAUACCGUCGUAGUCUCUACCGUAAACUAUGCCGACCAGGGAUCCGGAGAGUUUGCAUGGAUGACUCCCCGGGCACCUUGUGAGAAAUCAUAAGUGUUUGGGUUUUGGGGGGAGUAUGGUCGCAAGGCUGAAACUUAAAGGAAUUGACGGAAGGGCACCACCAGGAGUGGAACCUGCGGCUUAAUUCGACUCAAC
This 598-nucleotide ribosomal RNA is filed under the name uncultured eukaryote. Its description in RNAcentral is "bacterial SSU rRNA". It matches the Rfam family "Eukaryotic small subunit ribosomal RNA", at positions 585 to 1204 of the family's 1831-position model. The record is from RNAcentral.